CCCUUCGCUAAAGCCCCGCAGCGGGGCUCUUUAUAUCCAGCAUCUCUAUUGGCUGAGGGGAGCCGCAGUUCAGCCAAUGAGAGGUGGUUUUAUUGGCCUGCUGGGCUCUAGGGGCCUGGGAGGAGGUUGCCGUGGAGACUGCAGACCUAUUUGUGACUGGCCCUGGCACCUGAUUCUAGUGGGAGACAGCACUGAAUCUCGCGGAACAUGAUCCGAAUUGCAGCAUUGAAUGCCAGCUCCACAAUUGAGGAUGACCAUGAAGGUACCUUCAAAAGUCAC
RNAcentral lists this long non-coding RNA (279 nucleotides) under Pelusios castaneus (West African mud turtle). RNAcentral's name for it is "lncRNA (ENSPCEG00000008375.1)". The record is from RNAcentral. Lineage: Eukaryota; Metazoa; Chordata; Testudines; Pelomedusidae.